CCGACGGUGAGGGGUGAAAGCUGGGGGCACGAACCGGAUUAGAUACCCGGGUAGUCCCAGCCGUAAACGAUGCUCGCUAGGUGUCAGGCAUGGCGCGACCGUGUCUGGUGCCGCAGGGAAGCCGUGAAGCGAGCCACCUGGGAAGUACGGCCGCAAGGCUGAAACUUAAAGGAAUUGGCGGGGGAGCACAACAACGGGUGGAGCCUGCGGUUUAAUUGGACUCAACGCCGGACAACUCACCGGGGGCGACAGCAAUAUGUAGGCCAAGCUGAAGACUUUGCCUGAAUCGCUGUGAGGAGGUGCAUGGCCGUCGCCAGUUCGUACUG
RNAcentral lists this ribosomal RNA (326 nucleotides) under uncultured archaeon. Its description in RNAcentral is "bacterial SSU rRNA". It matches the Rfam family "Archaeal small subunit ribosomal RNA", at positions 691 to 1016 of the family's 1478-position model. The record is from RNAcentral.